This 531-nucleotide ribosomal RNA is filed under the name uncultured bacterium. Its description in RNAcentral is "bacterial SSU rRNA". It matches the Rfam family "Bacterial small subunit ribosomal RNA", at positions 75 to 603 of the family's 1533-position model. The record is from RNAcentral.
CUUGCUCUCUGGGUGACGAGCGGCGGACGGGUGAGUAAUGUCUGGGAAACUGCCUGAUGGAGGGGGAUAACUACUGGAAACGGUAGCUAAUACCGCAUAACGUCUACGGACCAAAGUGGGGGACCUUCGGGCCUCACGCCAUCAGAUGUGCCCAGAUGGGAUUAGCUAGUAGGUGGGGUAAUGGCUCACCUAGGCGACGAUCCCUAGCUGGUCUGAGAGGAUGACCAGCCACACUGGAACUGAGACACGGUCCAGACUCCUACGGGAGGCAGCAGUGGGGAAUAUUGCACAAUGGGCGCAAGCCUGAUGCAGCCAUGCCGCGUGUGUGAAGAAGGCCUUAGGGUUGUAAAGCACUUUCAGCGAGGAGGAAGGGUUCAGUGUUAAUAGCACUGUUCAUUGACGUUACUCGCAGAAGAAGCACCGGCUAACUCCGUGCCAGCAGCCGCGGUAAUACGGAGGGUGCAAGCGUUAAUCGGAAUUACUGGGCGUAAAGCGCACGCAGGCGGUUUGUUAAGUCAGAUGUGAAAUCCC